This is a long non-coding RNA of Aricia agestis (brown argus), 538 nucleotides long. RefSeq lists it as uncharacterized. The transcript has 3 exons. The record is from RefSeq and is a predicted model, not a curated record. Lineage: Eukaryota; Metazoa; Arthropoda; Insecta; Lepidoptera; Lycaenidae.
AUUCUCUUUCUGUACAGUCAUAUUUUUCAGAUAUGUGAUUCUGAGUUAAAUAUACUCAGUGUGGAUGCUAGCCAUGGUGGGGCAACACAUGACUCAUUUAUUUGGAAUCACCAUCCAUUAAAAUCACAUCUAGAGAAUCUACAUCAAGUCCAAAAUGAUACUUUAUGGUUCUUAGGUGAUUCAGGUUAUGCCCUACGCCCUACCAUGAUGACACCAAUUCUAAACACAGAGCCUGAUUCUCCACAAAGGUAUUACACUGAUCUACAUUGUCGAGCUCGCAAUACUGUGGAGAGGUGCAUCGGGCUACUUAAAUCUCGCUGGCGCUGUCUUUUGGUGGAUCGCAAGUUGCAUUACCAUCCUACAACAGCUGGAUUAAUUGUGAAUGCUUGUGUAGUUUUACACAAUAUUUGUAAUGCAGCUAGAAUGCCUGUCACACCACUAACACCACAGGAGGAAGAAAAUGAAAUCAACAUGCAAAUAAGUCCAGAAACACCAGCGAGAUUGCCAGCGAGGAGAGAUCACUUAGCUGCCGGAGAAU